RNAcentral lists this unclassified non-coding RNA (666 nucleotides) under Hevea brasiliensis (rubber tree). The record is from RNAcentral. Lineage: Eukaryota; Viridiplantae; Streptophyta; Magnoliopsida; Malpighiales; Euphorbiaceae.
GUAAAAAAUAAAAUAAUUAUACUACUAUUUUAUUAUGGUAUUUAUGUUUUGAAUAUAAUAUUAAUUAAAUAAUAAAGUUAACUCACGAAACUAAGUUAUUUUGCAAUUAAUAAAAACAAGCGAAGUGUUGAAUGGAAUGAACCUGGACCAUUUAUCCGACCCGGUUCGUCCCCACUCGGCCCCCUGCAUUUUCUUUGGCCAACCCGUUUCUUUUCUUCUCAUUUUCCAUCCAACACUUUUCCCUCUCGUUCACCCUCUCUGGCCAAGACCCAGCGGCUGCUGAAGCUUCCCACCAUCUCUACGAGCACUGGCGACGGGAAUGAGAAGAACAACGGUGAGUUUAGGCGGCGGCAGUGAGCCUAUGACUGCUUCACACAGAGAGAGAGAAACACCGCAACUUCUAGCGUGAUUCCAGCGGUUAUCGAUGUCGAACGGACGUGAUUUCGAUGGCGAUGGAUCCCUCUUGACGCUAGCUCCAUUUCCCGAUCAACCUCAUCUCGAAUGCAUGGCCGAAGGAGAAAGUUUAGUACAAAUUAUAUUUAACGCGUACUAUAUGGUUAUUUGGCUUUAUUAUAAGUAGAAUAAUUUUAUAACAGAAAAUAAAAUAGUUUAACAAAAUUUUACGGUUUAUAUUAUGAGAUUUUUGUAAAUUAUUAUUUUUUUAAC